Molecule: long non-coding RNA, 8107 nt
Filed under: Heterocephalus glaber (naked mole-rat)
Lineage: Eukaryota; Metazoa; Chordata; Mammalia; Rodentia; Bathyergidae
Description: lncRNA (ENSHGLG00000040453.1)
Source: RNAcentral
GCUAGGAAAAUAAAACAUUCUUCAAAGGCCUACUCUAAAAGGAAUGGGAAGGAAGGAAAGAUUUCAUUUUAAAGAUUCACAAGGGAUAGAAGAGGGAGGGAAGGGAGGUAAAGGGGAUGAAGAAAAGAAUUAGGAUGUGCUAUGUACAUGUACCAGAAGGAAUGUAAACAUUAUGCAUUGCAAACAUGUAUUAAUAAAAAAUUUAAAAAAAAAUCAAAGUGAACAAAAGCCUAAGGAUUAAAAAGAGAGAGAGAUUCACAGAAGGUUGACUCCCACAGCAAGAAUCUAGACAUGCCCAGUGACCAGUGUCUGUUCCCGGCCCCUCCCCGGCACAACCACUGUCUUCUGAGCAGCGUCACCUGCUGAAUUCUCAAGGGACUGCUAGAUAACCAGCCCAUAUUAACUCAAUGUGGGGAUAAUCUAUUGUAUAAACCCUUUAACAAGCAUCAAAGAAUUUGGCAUAAAAAAAAAAAGAAUUUGGCAUGAAAUUGUCCUAGUGGUUAGAUGAGUCUUAAGCCAGUUUCUGGGUUUCCUAUAUGUCUGGCAGGGUCCUUUCCUCUCAAAAUAGUAUCAUAAUACCGAAGAUGCUGACACAUACUCUAUAAAAGUCAAGAGUAAGAACUUGGGCCUUAAUCUGGUACCUGUUUAUUGCUGUAAAACUAGGAAACCAAACUUAUCAUUCCCACUUCAAAUACCAACAUAACCAUUUGUAUAUGAGCUCCUAAAAUUUAAAAAAAUAUGGCCCAAAUAUAUACCUUUUAUCCUUAGCUUGCCAUAAAGCACCCAUCUCACUCAACGUGAACCAAUCAACAGGGUGGCCUGCUGCAUGUUCACUCAGCAGCAUGGGUGCCAGGCAGGGGCACCCCCACUGCAACACAUCAGAAGGAGCCCAGGACCUAAUGAGCCAACUCUGCAGAUGCCACCAAAUGGAUCGCCUGCUUAUCAAGCCACAGCAGAGCUAGGUUUUAGAAACAGUUAAAGCUGCAAUUUCUGGGAGGCUCCUUUAAAUCUGGGGGUCAAAAGAUAUACACGUUAAAUAUGUUUUCAGUUUUAUUUUGAGACUAGUACUCUGGCAUUAUAAACUCGUAUAAUCCUUUGGAAGGGCCUCUUGACCAGACACCCCAGAAAAUUCUGGGCCCUAGACUUGCUAUGCUUGCUGCCAAACAACUAUCACCUAAUUCAGAAGCUCAAGAUGUGUUUUUUCCCUCCCUAAGAUGUUGGGAUCACAAAUCAGAAACGAAAUUCACCUCAGGCUAUUAAGCCUCCUGAACACCCCUCUCUAUCACAGUCAAGCCUCAAGACAAAAGCUAGGUCGACCAAAUGAGUUUGCUCUCUGGUUCACAAUCAUGAUCAAUAGUCAUUUCUGCUGGGAGUUUUAGCCUUGAAAAAAUUAAUGUUCCUCCUUUGCUAUUAACCUACGCUGACAAAAUCGAAUACUACUCAUCCUAUCCCUACAGACAUUAGCUUACCCUGGGAAAUUAAAACAAAAUCAGCUCCUUUCCCUUGGGCUUUCUACUGUUCUUGACUUAUUUUCCACUUUGAUCUUGCCCCUGAACUUAGCUGGGGAAGCAAGUCAACUUCCCCUGAGGACAGCUUCUUCCAGGCUUCAUAAAGCAGGUACUAGGGUUUCUGCUCAAAUUCUACAAGGGGGGUGAGGUGGAUGGGAAGCCAAGGAGACACCACAUCAAAGUGGUCGAUGAUGUGGCUGGGCAGAUAAGUGGUAGAGCCUAUGCUCAGCAUACUCCAGGACCCGGAUUCCACCUCUAGAAUACCUCCCCAUUGGUCAUUGUUAUAAACUAAUAUUCAAUACUUUUUUUUUUUUUGUGGUGGUGGUGGUGGUGGUGGUACUGGGGGUGAAACCCAGGGCAUGGAUACAAGCACUGUACAACUGAGCUACAACCCCUCCUUUUUUUUCAAAAAAAAAAUUUUUGGAGGUAAGUUUUCACUAAGGUGCCUUUCACUAAGAGCAGUGUCUCAAGUAGCUGGGAUUAUAGACCUGUGCUACUGUGCCCAAUAUUAACAAGCACCUGGGCAUUGAGGACAAAAUGGCUCCUGCUCCAGUCUAUGUGAGGAACAUUCACAUCCUAUUAACCACAACAAACAACUAUACAGGGUAGGAAAUGCUCAUCAGCACGAUGACUUUAGUGGAGGAAUCAGCCUACAUGAAUGCUCAUUCAAGCUUGUCAGCUACAGUCAGUCCCCUGGCUCUCUGGGUGACUUUUACCUCAUCCACGUUAUCAACAAGCUUUGUCCUAUUUGGCAUCAUUAAAACACACACACACACACAUUCACUCACACAUACACAUUUCCUUUCCUCUCUACCAACCAUAAGAUGUAGAAUUAUCAGCAAGCUGGUGUUAGAAGUUAACACAUAGUUCCUUUGUAAUAUAAUUCACCUUAUACAGACAUCUGCAUGGUCAACUAUACCUGCAAAAGGCCCUGUUUCAAAAUCGGUCUAUAGAAAAAACAUUGUCACUACAGUCUGUCAAGUAUCCUUACAAGGAUAUCACCUGCCCCCCACCAUCCUUUCCAUCAUAACUGAAAUAGUUUCUAUGAGUUUCCAUGAUCUGGGCACACUAACUGAAUGCCUCAGAGGGGUUCCUUGUGGGGUCUUGGGUACCCAUACUUCUUGGCUGUCACCAGUGCUAACCACCCCCCUCACCAUAUUACCCUGGCUAUCUACAAGGUUUCCAGCUCAUAACAACCUGAGCUGCUCACCCUCAGGCAUGAGUUCACAGAUACCUAUGCCCUUCCCUCAAGAGUGUUUGUCAACUAGCAUCAGUGUCAGUUUCCAUUUGAGUUUCUUUCUGGUCACCAGUUUGGUGCCAAGACACCUGCUAAGUUAUGCAGGUCUCCUUGUUACCUAGGUCUGCAGUUUUCCUGUAUAUGCUUGUCUUCUGUCCUCUUAAUAUAUAGCUUUAAGUCUUUUAACCAGACUCGCAAGUAUGACAGAAAAAACAUCACCCUGCUCUUAUAUAAAUUGUCUCUUUUCAUCACAAUCACAGAAGUUGCAGAAGAAAUUUAUCUGCCAUCUUGGCCUUGAGUCCUUUAAUUUCUUUUUCAUACCUUCAAUGUUCUGGGGAAGAUCAGGCUUUUCCUAUUUCCCCACCACAUGGUGGUUGAUGUAUGAGCACUGGCAGGCUCCCCAGCUCAUCUAGAAGUGGGCCUCACAAAGCCAAUCUAAGCACAGCAUUCUUCAUCUCCAACCAGGAAUCUCCCAAUAGCAGGAAGCUUCUGCCCCAGAGGGCAACCAGAAUUGCUUCCCAUUCCUUUUACUGCCUGGAGGCUUCUUUAGUGUCUAGCUGGUGUAAUUUUUUAAUAGUACCACGGGUUAAAAGUAAACACUUGCCAAACACCCCGCGCAGGUGAAUCACCAUUUUGCUGAUGGGAGUGAGGCAGGUGGGAAAGAGGGAAGAGAGAGGUACAAAUAUGGGAACCACAGAAUCCCCACUGCUAAGAAGAAAUGAAGAUGGUGGGCUGCACACAAAAGACUGUACCUUGAGGUCUCAAACUGGAGCCCACGUACGUUUCUGAUGACAUGGUGAGAAAGGGAUGUCUCCUGGAUGCAGGAAGCCCCAGAUAAGUGUGACCCCUGCAGACCCCAGCCUUGCUAGGUAGCAGGCAAACACUUCAAGUUCAGGGUAUGGGUGUAGAAAAUGUUUCCUCACCACCUGUUUUCAUAAGGCGCUGCCUUUAAACCCACUGGAUAGCUCCAAUGACAGGUCUCUGAGGACUCUCCCCUCUCCUUUUCCUUCCUAGGUUAUUCUACUGCUAAAACUUACUCAACCUCUCCAAUAAACCUGUUUUAAAAGAGCAUUCUUCAAGUUAAGAUUUUCUUGUUUUCUAGUGUGCUUGCAUGGCCUUAGUCAUUUGCUCAACAAAUAUUUCAGAAGCACAGGCAAUGGCAGAUACUGUGGCUAGGUCCCGGGUACAUAAUUGUAAGCAAAAUCAACAAGGUUCUGCCCUUUCAGAGAAAGAGGAAAAGCAGAUGUCUAUUAUGGUAUAUGGAAUAACAAACUGUGAGGAGUGCCACAAAGGGUAAGAAGAGUAAAGGUGGGGAGGUGGGUGGAGCCAUUUUCAACAGAGGUUUCAGCUCCUGAAAAGUCUAGCUCCCUUCUGGCUAGGGAUGGAAAGGUGGCCAAUGUGCCACCUGGAAUGUUAUAAACCAGGAGGACCAAGGGUGAGGCUGAGGUUGAAGGAGGCAGGAGAGAGAGAUCACAUGUUCAGAAACACGGUUAGCUGUGGACCUUAUUCUAGAAGCCUUCACAGGAUUUACACAAAGACAUGUCAUGAUCAUAUCAGGAGACUGGGUUUUAUGUUGUCGUUAGUUUUGUUUAUUUUUAUAGUAGUGGGAAUUAAACCCAGGGCUUUGCACUGAGCUACAACUUCAGUGGCCCCCCCCUUAAAUUUUAUUUUGUGACAAGGUCUCCUAAGUCAUCCAAACUUGCAACCUUCCUGCCUCAGCCUCCCUGGUAGGUUGGACUUCAGGUUUAUGUUGCCAUGCCUGGAAUAUUUAUUUAUUUAUGAGGCAUAAAGGGGUUUAUUAGGCAAUAAUUUAAAACAAUUAAGUACAAGCCCUCAAAAAAGAAAGGCAUGUUACAGUUUGGAGCUAGAAAUCUUUGUUUUUGGUGGUGAAAAUUUGUGAAUCCAUAGUAAGUACCACCCAGGUCUUAGUUUACAGGAAAAGGAUGGCCCACCUACAGAAAAAUAAUGGCUCAUUUACAAGUAAAAGGCAUGAGCCCCACCAAAGGUUUUGUUUUUUGAGACAGGGUUUCACUAUGCAGUACAGGCUGGUCUUGAACUCACUAUGUAGCCCAGGAGUUCAAGAGGAUCCUCCUGCUUCAACCUCCUGUGUGGUGGGAUCACAGGCAUGUGGCACGCACCUGGCAAUUUUUUUAGAUGGGUUAGCUAAGAUGUUUUGCCUAAAAACUCUCUUGGAACUCUCAAUCUGUUCCUUUAUCUUAAGAUCAGGUUUCUGUCCUUUAUCAAUUAAACUCAUUUGUGGGUUUAAAGCAUCUUUAAGGGACUUUGGGUAUGAUGGGCCUAGAACAGUGACUGAUGGUAAUCGAGCUUGCAAUAAUACAAACAGCUGGCUGCAGCACAAACGCCACAGGUUUGCCACCACUGGCCUAGAAGAAAAGAAGCAUAAAAAACCUAGGGAAUACUGACACAAACAAUCUUGGGUAACUUUAACUGUGUCCUAGAGCUGUAACCCUCUUAAAAGUAAAAAUUUUUAGUUAUGAUUUUCCUUGUCUCCCUUUCACCUAUCUUUAUUUAUUCUAUUAUACCUCAUUCCCCUCCCCUGGGACUUUGAUCUCUUAUUCUUUGAAGAUCCAUCUUCCUAUAAUGGCUUCAGGCUAAGGAGAGGUGCUGAUGCUCCUUAGCCAGGAAUCAAGUCUCACUCUAUCUAAAGGAGACAAAGGAAGAUGAGUUGUCUGAUCAUCUUUUGAUAGUUUGGAAAAGAGGACAUUAGCAAGUCAUUGACACUUAAGCUUCAUUUUACAACCAUGUUAAAUAUGCAGGGGCUAAGAAUUGAAAGAAUAUUGAAAAAUAGUAGCUCAAAAAGUUGUGUCAGAUAAAAAUUAGCCAGCACUUGGCAUAAGCCUUUUAUCUUUAAUAUCAACCUCUAUUUGUCCAGAGGUGUUAAUGCAAAUACAACAGGUGGAGUUUAAAAGCAUACAGGGCUGGGGAUUUAGCUCAUUGUUUCCAAUGCCUGGCCUGCCUGGCCCACCUGGCCCGCCUGGCCUGCAAGCGCAAGGACCUGAGUUCGAUCCCCAGUACCAAAAAAAAAAAGCACAUGGACUCUUCCCUCUUUGUCAAAGAAAUCUAACAUUCUCCAUGCUUGAAUUUUUUUAAACAAAGUUGUCUGCAUCCGGUGAGUAGAUCAGAAAGGAGUAGGAGACAUGGGCAGGUGAGUGAACAGGCUGUUACAGUCUCCCAAGCAAAAAGAUGAUCAUCUGAACUACUGCGGUGGUAGGGAAGCCAGAUAAAAGAGAAUCAUCCAAGAGAUACACAAGGUAAAGAUCAACAGCACUUGGCAAAGGAGUGGCUACAGACUACAGGGUGGGAGGUCCACCAUGGUUUGCAGUGAGGAGAAAUGGCAAUGACUUCCAGCAGAAAGCAUGGCCAUGCAAACUCUGCAGCUCACCAGUACACUUCCCUGAGCAUGUUUUUCAGAAUUUCUAGAUAAUUUUAUAACCCUUCUCCUAUUUGCUGAAACAGUCAUCCGUUCUAAACACAUAUUUAUCAAACUGUUGUGCCCAGAUUGUGAAGUCCCAGAGACCACCAGGAGGCCAUUUCCGAUGUAAGCACACAAGGGUCGUUUAUUCAAGCUUAAGCAGGGACUCUCAACUGUCACCGACACAGCGGAUCGAGAUUGAGAGCCCUGAGUCCCUAACUAGCAGGGUUUUUAUUGAGAAUACAACAAGCUUUGGUUAUUAGUAGCCAGGUGAUUGGUUAAUACUUAAUACAUAUGAAGUGUAGGGUUUUGGUUGGCUAGGCUUUGGGGGUCGAAGGGGAUUACGUAUUGGUUUUUGUGAGGGAGAAAAGGGGCAAAGAUUAACGGCCGGUUGUUACAUACUGAUCGUUAGCAGACCCACUAACUAAUGGCUGCAUCUAUCUUGUGUGGACAGUCAGCUCAUUAACUGCUUAUCCUACAGAUAGUGUGCCUGGAACGCUCUCUCCCCGGGUACACAGGUGGUUGGGUAAUAAACUCAGGAAUUUCAAGUGGUGAAUUCCUAGUUUAAGCACAAAUUUGAGAGAACAAAGAAGACGGCUCCAAAAUGGAGUCAUUUUGGUCCCACAAAACAUUACUAGACACUGGGAUAAAGAGGUGACCAAGAUAGCCUAAGCCCCUGCAGCAGCCACCAAGUUCCCAGAGGAGCCUCAAAAUUCUCUUGGCAGCAGAACACAACUCCCAAGGCUGGAGUCAUCUUACUUCCUAGAACCUUCUCUACCUCUUAGAGAUUUUCUGCAAUGAAGAAAUACUUUAAAACUCAAAGAUUCACUCCUCAUUUCGUAAAAUCCCAAGUCCAGGGGACAUCACAGCACCAAAUCUAACCUCUCCAGGUCUUUGAGUGCCCCCAUCUAAAGACCACAAACCCCUCGAGGCAAUUCUUCCAUUACAAAAUCAAAUUCUUCUAAAACAUACUAAGCUUAGGAACUACUUGUGACUGGUACUCUUUCAUUAGUUUCCUAAAUUAGUUUGUGCUGGGUUCUAUUCUAUGAUGGAGAUGGGCAGUUUUAAACUCUGAAACUGCACCAUCUAAUGUAGCCACAUGGAGGGAGCCACAGUGGUACCUCAGUUCAUGAACUUAAUUUGUUCCAAGAGUUUGGAAAAGAUGACCACAUUGGUGCUUGUAUGCCAUGAUUGUGUUUGUUGCCUGAUGCAAAUAAAAACAAAAGUUUUGCCAAACACUUUUGUUUGCAAACCAGAUUGCUCCCAAACAAAAGUUAAAUUAAAAUGAACCAAAAUUAAAAUUAGAUAAAAUCAAAGCUUCAAUUUAUUAGUGGCAUUAUCCUUUCAAAUGUCUAAUAGUCACAUGUGGCAAGUGGCUACUUUAACUCCAGAGCACAUACCUAGCAUAUGACAGAAAAGUCUGUUGGACAGUGACCCACAGGCAUACUGUUACAGGGUUCUUUUCAUGUUUGAUUUGAAUUUCCUCUUUAAAACAUAAAAACAAAAACAAAAGUUUACCAUACCCUCUUUGGUUUUAAAAGUGAGAGUUAUAAGAAAAACUUUAUACUCCCUAAUAUACUGCUUUUAAUCAGUUCCAUACCUUGGGCUUUAUAAAAAAUUUGUUUGAAAAUAACCCGUGAUAGGCUGGGGAUGUAGCUCAGUGGUGCUGUGCCUGCCGGGCAAGCACAAGGUCUUGAGAUCGAUUCCUGUGGGGUAGGGAGGGAGGACUCCAGUAUCAAAUGCUGCCCAUCCUAAAUCCAAAGAAUAAAAAUAACCUGUGACUUCAGUGAGGACAAAAAUUGGAACCAUAAUUUAGGAACAACUAUAGAUACACAUUAUCUUUUAAUGUACUUUAUACAAUGUCCAAUACAUUUGAUGUUUAGUAAACACACUGCCUAUCAUGAAAGUACUCAAUUUUUUAGGCCUACU